This is a long non-coding RNA of Mauremys mutica (yellowpond turtle), 338 nucleotides long. RefSeq lists it as uncharacterized. The transcript has 3 exons. The record is from RefSeq and is a predicted model, not a curated record. Lineage: Eukaryota; Metazoa; Chordata; Testudines; Geoemydidae.
GUAACAGUGAGUCAUCAGGGAAUCAUAUAUCUCGGUGAUGGGCCAUUCGGGUGGGAGGCAGUCGUCACCCCUGCGUGUCUUGCAGAUACAGAAGUGAAGUGGAAAUCUGAACAAGACAUGAUUUGAACUACGUUAGGCAUCUCAGAAAAGUACAAGACUGAGAAACACCAACAUUUUGAUCGCUGCAGACAAGACUGGUCUGGAGAAGUAGAGGAGAAUGUUGGAAGAGGAGUGCAUAUUAGUGUAAACCUACUGAAGUCAAGAUGAAGUCAAUGAAGUGGAGGAUCCAUCUGGCCCUAUAUCACACUAAAGAGACAAUACAAAUGUAAUUCAACAAG